UACGUAGGGGGCGAGCGUUAUCCAGAUUUACUGGGCGUAAAGCGCGUGUAGGCGGCUGGUUAGGUGUGAUGUGAAAUCCUCGGGCUCAACCCGAGAACUGCAUUGCAAACCGGCCUGGCUAGAGUGCAGGAGAGGGAAGCGGAAUUCCAGGUGUAGCGGCGAAAUGCGUAGAUAUCUGGAGGAACACCAGUGGCGAAGGCGGCUUCCUGGCCUGUAACUGACGCUGAGACGCGAAAGCGUGGGGAGCGAACCGG
RNAcentral lists this ribosomal RNA (254 nucleotides) under uncultured bacterium. RNAcentral's name for it is "partial 16S ribosomal RNA". It matches the Rfam family "Bacterial small subunit ribosomal RNA", at positions 524 to 776 of the family's 1533-position model. The record is from RNAcentral.